This is a long non-coding RNA of Neodiprion virginianus, 3210 nucleotides long. RefSeq lists it as uncharacterized. Lineage: Eukaryota; Metazoa; Arthropoda; Insecta; Hymenoptera; Diprionidae. The transcript is spliced from 4 exons. The record is from RefSeq and is a predicted model, not a curated record.
UCCGGGUUCUGCAGGCCCCACGAGGCUCGUCGCUGCCGUCCCGACACAUCACCAUGGCGUUGCAAAAUUCAUAAGCAGGCAGACACUGGCCGCUGUUGCAUCUGAACGCGCCCUUCGGGCACUCUGCAAUACGUACAAGCCGUCCUCGUCCUCCCCGUCCGGACAGUCCUGGUUCCCGUCGCAAACGCCGGCUUUCGAUACGCAGACUCCGCUUCUCCAGCACCUGAACGCCUGGCUCGGACAUCGUUCGGAUCUGCAUUCCUCGUCCGAUCCGUCGGCGCAGUCCGGACGACCAUCGCAGACGAAGAACCAGCUGAUGCACUGCCCGGUACCGCGACACUGGAAGGUCCCGGGUGCACAUCCGGUCCUCUGCGCCCCGCAGGCGAAACUUCCGUUACCGCGGAUCGCGCAGUCGCAGACACCCUCCAGACAUCGCGAACCCGAAUCCGCCAUCUGGCAUUCUAUGUCCGCGGUGCAUGCCAGGCCCAAACUUAUCGCCAUUGUGCUUUCCGGCUCGUGUCUGUCCGUCUUGAUCGGUGCUUUUUGGGGAAAAUUCAACGGGUGAACGAUCUUGACUUUGGGCGAAAGUCGAUAUUUUUUUACAAUUUUCAUACCAGACAGUCGGGCAUUGGGUAUUUGUCAAAUUAUUGUAUUCGUAAGCUGCGAAGAUCUUUCGUUUGAAAUACGAAUGCAGAAAAUACUGGGAUUAUAAACAGAAACUUGGAUGCCUAGACGCUUCGUUUUGAAUCGCUUCGAAAUUGUUGAAAGUCUUAUAUUUACAUAGAUUCGUUCGAUUUUACACUACGAGAGCUUGAUAAUUUUAUUCGCAAUUGAUUAUUUUGUAUAAAUUUAUUGAAAUACUUUUUUUCAACACGUUGGCAUCGUUGAAAAUUUUUUAUUUUACAAUACUGGAUUGAUACUAGUUACGAUCAACAAACAAAGUAGACAGAAAACAACUGUUUCAUUGGGCACGGUAGAAAAAUAUAAGUUUACUGAAUAAAAUGAGCUAUCGCAGAGUGAAAUCAUACGAAUCCACUGGAUUUUUAACCAUUUCGAAUCGAUUUCAAACGAAGCGUCGAUAUCAAAGCGUUUCUUUAUACCGAAAUCCAGAAUUUUUUGUUUCUUUUACUUUUUCUUUAUUUUCAAAGUGAUCUUCGUAGCUUACGAAAAUAAUAAUUUCAUGAAACAAUCCUUGCAAGUGAUAAUUUUUUUUGUCAAGAAAUUACGAAACGUCGUCAAUGCAAUUCCUGCGGCACAACAUUUUGCAAUCGUAUCACGAUGUUAAUGAAAGCAAGCAAUUUCUUGAACCAUUCCUGUCACUUCGAAAAAUGCCCAACGGUUAAAAUGAUUUUAAAAAAUUUCAGGCAACGCCUCUCGACUCCGUUUACCCGAUGUGGAAGUCGACGUAGUUUGUAAAAUCUCGGUAGUCUCUGCAGCUUCGACGACGACAGCUUCGUUGUCGGCACCAGGAAAUUGGUUCGGUGCCGGAGUUUCCGGAGCUGACUGAACGAGGCUUGGUAGAACCGUCGUAGUUACCGCAGGAAAAAUUCAACGCCGUGACUCGAGCUUCGUGACGUGAAAUGAUACCUGUUUCCUCCUCCUCGUCGUCGUCGUCGUCGUCAGCGUCAUGGAUGACGAUCGUUUCCUCCUCCACGCUCUCCGGAACGUCGUUGCUCGACUGAAGAGGGACUUGCUGUGGUCUGACCAGGAAAUCCGGCCGACAGACGUCGCCGUCCCGACGCAUCGGCGAGGUGCAUUGACAUCGUCCGAAUAGAUCAGGGAUUAUGAAAUCGCAAUGAGUGUCGCUGUCCCAGAGAUGACAGUGCGAGUGGCUGUAACAAACGUCGCCAGGCCGAGCGGCUGGACGGAAAUUACGAGAUUACACGGGAGAAACGCUCGAGUUUAUCAUAUAUGUACGAUGUGAAUAUGUAUGAGGGAGAAGACAUUGCGCGCAGAGACGUGACGAAUUAAUUAACUGCGCCAACGUCCGAGGAAGUCGGCCGUAUUAUCAUCCUGCGUAAGCAUUUAAUAAAUAUUUAUCAUCUGGUGGGUGGGAACGGGGUCGCUUAAUUAUUAUGAUUCGCGAAUCGCGCACUGCACUGCGUGAUACAUUUCGAAUGUUGUGUUUGCACGAGUCGGUGAACCGAGGGCCAGGUCGUUACUUGAAAUGAAAACUCGAAGCAACCUAUAAGCCGUCUGCCUACCUAUCGCUUCAUAAAUUAUGGCAGAAGACGAACACAAUAUAGACGUCUAAUGAUACUUGGCUACCGUUCGCAAUCCUUAGUCGUGCAAAGUACAAGGUACACUGUUAAGAAUUAUUGUGCAUUUUAUACUGUGCGAAAGAGUUGUCAAUUUACGAAAUAAGGUUGCAAGUUUAAAAAUUUGGCGCGGUGACCUAAAUGACUAUGUAUAUGUCUUAGAUAUAGAAUGAAAGUUUUUAAUUUUAGUAAAUUUUAUAGAAGGAAGACGGAAAAAUUAUUUCAAUUUACUAAAUUGUGUAGCAAAUUCAUUUUAUUUGUAAAUUGAAUUUAUGGUGAACUCAUUGUUCCGUAUCCCAGUAAAAUUUCAAAAUACAGCGUAGCAAGUUCCGUACAGAAAUUUUUAACAUUAAACGAAACCCUGACUAUAACGUGAACUUAUACCACACAGGGUUGAGUAGAAAUUGCAAAAGAACAAGGGAAGGAUUUGGAUAAAGAUCACACGAAGACACAUUUGCGUACGAAUUGCAUAUUACCUUCCUGAUCGUGAUCGGGUUUCUUGACCAGGAAAAAAAGAAAUUUCCGCAGUAAAGCUACGUCGCUUAAAAUUUCUACUUCGAGUUUAGUCGGAGCCUUGGUGAAGUACGGAUGGUAAAAUUGAUAUACUAUACUCACGUCCGAGACACGUGUGUUUUCGGAACUGCAAAUAACCUUCCUCGCAUCUGCAGACUCCAGCUAGACAGUUGCUGUGAGCUACCUUCAUGGCGCAUUGAUCUUUCACGAGACAAUCGUAGCCCAGAAGCGUUGCUGCAAUGAUAAAUCUGCGUUGUAUUGUUAUACGGCUAGUUUUUAAAUCAUUGAAUCGUCGCAGACCAAGUCGUUCGAGUAUUAGCUAACGCUACAAUAGGGGUAAACCAUUCGGAGAAACGUUAUCAAAUGUUACUCUGUAGUAUUAGGCAUUCCAGGCAAGCGUUAGCUAGCAUAGAAAAUUCAAAGUGCGUGCUCAAAGCCA